ACACCUCAACCCUCCAGUGUUUUUUGCAUUGCAGGUGUUGGUAGUGAGCGCUGCCGGUCUUUGGAUCGGCUCGCUUUAAAAUCAUUAGCUGGAUCCAUUCUGACCUGGUUCUACUCGGCGUAAUAAGUUAUUAUCGUCGAGGACGCCUGGCCUUUGUAGGCAGGGCGGCCACAGUAAGGGUGUUUGAACCGCUUCCAACGCGUCUUGCUCUUGUAGCAAACACUUGAAC
Molecule: unclassified non-coding RNA, 229 nt
Filed under: uncultured Geminibasidium
Lineage: Eukaryota; Fungi; Basidiomycota; Geminibasidiomycetes; Geminibasidiales; Geminibasidiaceae
Description: partial internal transcribed spacer 2
Source: RNAcentral